RNAcentral lists this ribosomal RNA (484 nucleotides) under uncultured bacterium. RNAcentral's name for it is "partial 16S ribosomal RNA". It matches the Rfam family "Bacterial small subunit ribosomal RNA", at positions 30 to 507 of the family's 1533-position model. The record is from RNAcentral.
AUUGAACGCUGGCGGCAGGCCUAACACAUGCAAGUCGAGCGGAUGAAGGGAGCUUGCUCCUGGAUUCAGCGGCGGACGGGUGAGUAAUGCCUAGGAAUCUGCCUGGUAGUGGGGGAUAACGUCCGGAAACGGGCGCUAAUACCGCAUACGUCCUGAGGGAGAAAGUGGGGGAUCUUCGGACCUCACGCUAUCAGAUGAGCCUAGGUCGGAUUAGCUAGUUGGUGGGGUAAAGGCCUACCAAGGCGACGAUCCGUAACUGGUCUGAGAGGAUGAUCAGUCACACUGGAACUGAGAUACGGUCCAGACUCCUACGGGAGGCAGCAGUGGGGAAUAUUGGACAAUGGGCGAAAGCCUGAUCCAGCCAUGCCGCGUGUGUGAAGAAGGUCUUCGGACUGUAAAGCACUUUAAGUUGGGAGGAAGGGCAGUAAGUUAAUACCUUGCUGUUUUGACGUUACCAACAGAAUAAGCACCGGCUAACUUCGUG